RNAcentral lists this ribosomal RNA (253 nucleotides) under uncultured bacterium. RNAcentral's name for it is "partial 16S ribosomal RNA". It matches the Rfam family "Bacterial small subunit ribosomal RNA", at positions 524 to 776 of the family's 1533-position model. The record is from RNAcentral.
GACGAACCGUGCUAACGUUGUUCGGAAUCACUGGGCUUAAAGGGCGCGUAGGCGGGCAUGCAAGUCAGGGGUGAAAGCCCACGGCUCAACCGUGGAAGUGCCUUUGAUACUGCGUGUCUUGAGCGAGGUAGGGGCGUGCGGAACUUCCGGUGGAGCGGUGAAAUGCGUAGAUAUUGGGAAGAACACCGGUGGCGAAGGCGGCUCUCUGGACCGAGACUGACGCUGAGGCGCGAAAGCGUGGGGAGCAAACAGG